RNAcentral lists this long non-coding RNA (258 nucleotides) under Homo sapiens (human). RNAcentral's name for it is "HSALNT0295768". The record is from RNAcentral. Lineage: Eukaryota; Metazoa; Chordata; Mammalia; Primates; Hominidae.
CCCAGAGCAACUUCCAGUCCUGCAAGUUCCAUUCAUGGACUCCAAGGCUCUAAGGAUGGAAGAGUCAUAAUUGGAAAGAGCCUGGGUACCUGAAUCACUGUAUGGAGGAAAAUCACUUGCUGAGCAGGAACAUCCUCAUUGGACUAGCUAUGUGGGGACACCCACAGGGCCAGAGGUUGAAGGCAUAGGCGUUGACAUCUCCAACUGUUCUGACUCCAGAGUUUUGCUCUUGUUGCCCACGCUGGAGUGCAAUGGCAC